UGUGAGACACCCCUUAUAUCUAGGCAAUGGAACAAAAUUAUGGUCAUGUGACCAUUAUAUUUACAAGCCCCUCCCAUUCUCCCCUUGCCAGGAAGGUGAACUUGGUGCUGUUGCUGUGGAAUAGAGUGGUUUCGGAGGUUUCUUGCACGUUGCCAUCUCUCUGUCCGAACUCCAGAGGCAACAUCCCUGGGAAGGGCUACAGCCUUCAAUAAAACUACAGUAGGGGAGUUCUUCGACAAUCUGGCUGUAGUGAUGGACAGGCACACAUUCCCUCCACACAUGAUUUACAAUGUAGAUGAAACCGGCGUCUUUAGAGUUCAAAAGCCAUGACAGGUUGUGACAGAGAAAGGAAAAAAGCAAGUUGGUUCUAUCAUAUCAUCUGAGAAAGAAAAUGAUGUGGCACAUGUUCCUAAAGGUGAUGUUGUGAAAAAGCUGCCUCAACCUAAUAGGCCUGGAGGAACCA
Molecule: long non-coding RNA, 463 nt
Organism: Xiphophorus hellerii (green swordtail)
Lineage: Eukaryota; Metazoa; Chordata; Actinopteri; Cyprinodontiformes; Poeciliidae
Exons: 4
Source: RefSeq, a predicted model, not a curated record